Molecule: long non-coding RNA, 512 nt
Filed under: Mytilus galloprovincialis (Mediterranean mussel)
Lineage: Eukaryota; Metazoa; Mollusca; Bivalvia; Mytilida; Mytilidae
Source: RNAcentral
AGCAUGUAUGAGAAAAAUAGUGAGCCAAUUGUAAGAUGCUAUAAGAUAGGCUAACACGAAUGUGUCCAUAGUACACGGAUACCCCACUCGCACUAUCAUUUUACAUGUUCAGUGGACCGUGAAAUUAGGGUCAAUACUUUAAUUUGGCGUUAAAAUUAGAAAGAUCAUAUCAUAGGGAACAUGUGUACUAAGUUUCAAGUUGAUUGGACUUCAUCUUCAUCAAAAACAACCUUGACCAAAAACUUUAACCUGAAGCGGGACGAACGGCCGCACAGACGAACGAACGAACGAACGGACGCACAGACCAGAAAACAUAAUGCCUCUCUACUAUCGUAGGUGGGGCAAUAAAAAUUUAUCGAAAAUAUAGCAAAAAAGAAAUCAUGAAAUAACUCGGUGCAAUCCCAAUCUAAGAUGCAAACACAUCAAAACAAAAACAAAAUCACACCAUAUCUCCACAUGACACAAAACAAAAACCAACUGCAAUCAACAAAUAAGACGCAAAGAGUCACAAG